This 468-nucleotide ribosomal RNA is filed under the name uncultured bacterium. RNAcentral describes it as "partial 16S ribosomal RNA". It matches the Rfam family "Bacterial small subunit ribosomal RNA", at positions 28 to 507 of the family's 1533-position model. The record is from RNAcentral.
GACGAACGCUGGCGGCGUGCUUAACACAUGCAAGUCGAACGGACAGGCCCUGCUUUUGUGGGUUGCUCGAGUGGCGAACGGGUGAGUAACACGUGAGUAACCUGCCCUUGACUUUGGGAUAACUUCAGGAAACUGGGGCUAAUACCGGAUAGGAGCUCCUGCUGCAUGGUGGGGGUUGGAAAGUUUCGGCGGUUGGGGAUGGACUCGCGGCUUAUCAGCUUGUUGGUGGGGUAGUGGCUUACCAAGGCUUUGACGGGUAGCCGGCCUGAGAGGGUGACCGGCCACAUUGGGACUGAGAUACGGACCAGACGCCUACGGGAGGCAGCAGUGGGGAAUAUUGCACAAUGGGCGGAAGCCUGAUGCAGAAACGCCGCGUGCGGGAUGACGGCCUUCGGGGUGUAAACCGCUGUCGCCUGUGACGAAGCGUGAGUGACGGUAAUGGGUAAAGAAGCAACGGCUAACUACGUG